UGGGGAAUCUUAGACAAUGGGGCAACCCUGAUCUAGCCAUGCCGCGUGAGUGAUGAAGGCCUUAGGGUUGUAAAGCUCUUUCAGCUGGGAAGAUAAUGACGGUACCAGCAGAAGAAGCCCCGGCUAACUCCGUGCCAGCAGCCGCGGUAAUACGGAGGGGGCUAGCGUUGUUCGGAAUUACUGGGCGUAAAGCGCACGUAGGCGGACUGGAAAGUUGGGGGUGAAAUCCCGGGGCUCAACCUCGGAACUGCCUUCAAAACUAUCAGUCUGGAGUUCGAGAGAGGUGAGUGGAAUUCCGAGUGUAGAGGUGAAAUUCGUAGAUAUUCGGAGGAACACCAGUGGCGAAGGCGGCUCACUGGCUCGAUACUGACGCUGAGGUGCGAAAGCGUGGGGAGCAAACA
This 401-nucleotide ribosomal RNA is filed under the name uncultured bacterium. Its description in RNAcentral is "partial 16S ribosomal RNA". It matches the Rfam family "Bacterial small subunit ribosomal RNA", at positions 355 to 774 of the family's 1533-position model. The record is from RNAcentral.